This 301-nucleotide ribosomal RNA is filed under the name uncultured bacterium. RNAcentral describes it as "partial 16S ribosomal RNA". It matches the Rfam family "Bacterial small subunit ribosomal RNA", at positions 509 to 809 of the family's 1533-position model. The record is from RNAcentral.
CAGCCGCCGCGGUAAUACGUAGGUGGCAAGCGUUGUCCGGAAUUAUUGGGCGUAAAGGGCUCGCAGGCGGUUUCUUAAGUCUGAUGUGAAAGCCCCCGGCUCAACCGGGGAGGGUCAUUGGAAACUGGGAAACUCGAGUGCAGAAGAGGAGAGUGGAAUUCCACGUGUAGCGGUGAAAUGCGUAGAGAUGUGGAGGAACACCAGUGGCGAAGGCGACUCUCUGGUCUGUAACUGACGCUGAGGAGCGAAAGCGUGGGGAGCGAACAGGAUUAGAUACCCCCGUAGUCCCUGUCUCUUAUAA